RNAcentral lists this ribosomal RNA (627 nucleotides) under uncultured Lachnospiraceae bacterium. RNAcentral describes it as "bacterial SSU rRNA". It matches the Rfam family "Bacterial small subunit ribosomal RNA", at positions 68 to 705 of the family's 1533-position model. The record is from RNAcentral. Lineage: Bacteria; Bacillati; Bacillota; Clostridia; Lachnospirales; Lachnospiraceae.
UUGAUUUCUUCGGAAUGAAGAUUUUGUGACUGAGUGGCGGACGGGUGAGUAACGCGUGGGUAACCUGCCUCAUACAGGGGGAUAACAGUUGGAAACGACUGCUAAUACCGCAUAAGCGCACAGGGUCGCAUGACCUGGUGUGAAAAACUCCGGUGGUAUGAGAUGGACCCGCGUCUGAUUAGCCAGUUGGUGGGGUAACGGCCUACCAAAGCAACGAUCAGUAGCCGACCUGAGAGGGUGACCGGCCACAUUGGGACUGAGACACGGCCCAAACUCCUACGGGAGGCAGCAGUGGGGAAUAUUGCACAAUGGGGGAAACCCUGAUGCAGCGACGCCGCGUGAGCGAAGAAGUAUUUCGGUAUGUAAAGCUCUAUCAGCAGGGAAGGAGAAAUGACGGUACCUGACUAAGAAGCACCGGCUAAAUACGUGCCAGCAGCCGCGGUAAUACGUAUGGUGCAAGCGUUAUCCGGAUUUACUGGGUGUAAAGGGAGCGCAGGCGGUACGGCAAGUCUGAUGUGAAAGCCCGGGGCUCAACCCCGGUACUGCAUUGGAAACUGUCGGACUAGAGUGUCGGAGGGGUAAGUGGAAUUCCUAGUGUAGCGGUGAAAUGCGUAGAUAUUAGGAGGA